GGUCUCAGUCGCCGCCUUACCUGCGCUCGUCUUCGCCGGCGGCAGAAGCAGACGAAACCUGCAUCUGGUCCCUCGGCUGGUAACCUCUGUCUAUU
Arachis ipaensis is the source of this 95-nucleotide non-coding RNA. NCBI's taxonomy places the organism in Eukaryota, Viridiplantae, Streptophyta, Magnoliopsida, Fabales, Fabaceae. The record is from RefSeq and is a predicted model, not a curated record.